Molecule: non-coding RNA, 1295 nt
Organism: Bactrocera oleae (olive fruit fly)
Lineage: Eukaryota; Metazoa; Arthropoda; Insecta; Diptera; Tephritidae
Source: RefSeq, a predicted model, not a curated record
GCUGUCACACUCGCUGUGCAUCUUAAUUCAAAAUAAAAGUUCUUUAUCUCCAAAAACACCCGUUAUCAUAUAAGACAAACAAUGUGUAUUAUCUUUUCAUGUGCAAAACAAAUGCAUAAAACAAGGAUAUGUCAGCUGCCAGCAGCCUGAAGCUAUCGUACGGCUUAACACAUACACACUUCAUAUGGUGACAUGUGCUGUUUGUGAGCAUAUCCUCACUUCUGCUUGUUUGUGUUGCAUAAAAAAUCUCCUAUUGGUGAGUACCAUGUGACUGGCCGCUUGUAUCUUUCCGCCAUCACCAACACGAUAGCGUUUAUUGCUAUCCUUGGAAACUUCUUUAUGAACAUGGUUAUCGUCACACUCAUUAUCAGCGAAAGGAUAACUGUUUACAGUCAUCAGUAGCAUCGUCAAAAAAGGAAAAAAAAUCAAAAUCAUCUACGAAUAUGCCGUGACAAUGCAUACGUAAACAUUAAAGGCUUAAGGUGCAUUUUUUUUUGUAACUAGUGCUGCAGUAUGCCAGGGAAAUCGCGUCGGAAGCAGUGACACAAAUGGCGGGCGAACAUUAAAUGGGCGUUAGGGAGGAGUAUGCUCUCUUUGUAUUUGUGUGAGAAUUACUGGAUAAUGUUAAAAUCGUGAAACACGGCAACACCGCUGCGCUACAAUUGCUAAACUAUGUGGUGUAUUCACUGAAAUUUGGCCUCUAUACUUCUGUAGGCGGGUUUGUUUCAUGAAUAUUCAAAUAUUAUAGGAGUAAAAUCGAUUCGGAACCUAGACUAUGAGCUGGAAAAUAUUUUUAAUUUGAGUAUUUUUUGGCAUUUUCAUUUUCAGUUGCACCAAUGCUCGAUUACAAAGCAAACUGUUUAAGAUAUCAAUGAAUAAAAAGCUGCAGUGAAUUUUCUAUUCAUUUAGCCAAUUUAACCACCGUAAAAGCGGGUUUAAUGAAGCUUUAUUAACUUAAACAUGUUGAUUUGAACGUUUUUACCAUAUACACUCAAAGCAACAUCACGACAGUGACAUGGAUAGGAGGAGAAAAUUACGGUAGUUACCAGUCUUCUAUUACAAUUUUCGCGAGCGCAACGCGAAAUGAAUGCGUGGAGAGAAAAGCUCAAAAAACAAAUAUAUAUUUAAAUAAACAUUAAUUUUAAAGUCUGUAAAUCUGACUGCGAUGAUGAUAGCCGUAAACCCAGCUGCACUUUACUAGAGAAAUAAAGGAAGCGGAGGCUUUCAUGAUAAGUUUACUCGCAUUCGCAUUGUCGAUUAUUGUAGUGAUUCUAUUUUAUUAGCAGCAAUAUCUC